RNAcentral lists this ribosomal RNA (478 nucleotides) under uncultured bacterium. RNAcentral describes it as "partial 16S ribosomal RNA". It matches the Rfam family "Bacterial small subunit ribosomal RNA", at positions 28 to 523 of the family's 1533-position model. The record is from RNAcentral.
GACGAACGCUGGCGGCGUGCUUAACACAUGCAAGUCGAACGGUAAGGCCCUUCGGGGUACACGAGUGGCGAACGGGUGAGUAACACGUGGGUGAUCUGCCCUGCACUUCGGGAUAAGCCUGGGAAACUGGGUCUAAUACCGGAUAGGACUCCGGACUGCAUGGUCUGGGGUGGAAAGCUUUUGCGGUGUGGGAUGGGCCCGCGGCCUAUCAGCUUGUUGGUGGGGUGAUGGCCUACCAAGGCGACGACGGGUAGCAGGCCGGGGCGGGUGACCGGCCAGACUGUGACUGAGGUACAGCCAAGAGUCCUACGGGAGUCAGGAGUGGGGAAUAUUGCACAAUGGGCGCAAGCCGGAUGCAGCGACGCCGCGUGGGGGAUGACGGCCUUCGGGUUGUAAACCUCUUUCAGCAUCGACGAAGCGAAAGUGACGGUAGGUGCAGAAGAAGGACCGGCCAACUACGUGCCAGCCGCCGCGGUAA